CGGACGGGUGAGUAAUGUCUGGGAAACUGCCUGAUGGAGGGGGGUAACUACUGGAAACGGUAGCUAAUACCGCAUAACGUCGCAAGACCAAAGAGGGGGACCUUCGGGCCUCUUGCCAUCGGAUGUGCCCAGAUGGGAUUAGCUAGUAGGUGGGGUAACGGCUCACCUAGGCGACGAUCCCUAGCUGGUCUGAGAGGAUGACCAGCCACACUGGAACUGAGACACGGCCCAG
Molecule: ribosomal RNA, 232 nt
Filed under: uncultured bacterium
Lineage: Bacteria
Description: partial 16S ribosomal RNA
Rfam family: Bacterial small subunit ribosomal RNA
Source: RNAcentral